GAUGAACGCUGGCGGCGUGCCUAACACAUGCAAGUCGAACGAGAUGCGUAUUGGAAAGCUUCGGCCGGAAGAUGCGUUAUCUAGUGGCGGACGGGUGAGUAACACGUGGGUAACCUGCCUUAUGGAGGGGGAUAACAGAGAGAAAUCACUGCUAAUACCGCAUACGCACACAUUGCCGCAUGGCAGAGUGUGAAAAGAUUUAUCGCCAUAAGAUGGACCCGCGUCUGAUUAGCCAGUUGGCAGGGUAAAAGCCUACCAAAGCAACGAUCAGUAGCCGAUCUGAGAGGAUGACCGGCCACAUUGGGACUGAGACACGGCCCAAACUCCUACGGGAGGCAGCAGUGGGGAAUAUUGCACAAUGGGGGAAACCCUGAUGCAGCGACGCCGCGUGAGUGAAGAAGUAUUUCGGUAUGUAAAGCUCUAUCAGCAGGGAAGAUAAUGACAGUACCUGACUAAGAAGCCCCGGCUAACUACGUG
This 477-nucleotide ribosomal RNA is filed under the name uncultured bacterium. RNAcentral describes it as "partial 16S ribosomal RNA". It matches the Rfam family "Bacterial small subunit ribosomal RNA", at positions 28 to 507 of the family's 1533-position model. The record is from RNAcentral.